This 34-nucleotide ribosomal RNA is filed under the name Rhodophyllus sp. K31. Its description in RNAcentral is "partial 18S ribosomal RNA". The record is from RNAcentral. Lineage: Eukaryota; Fungi; Basidiomycota; Agaricomycetes; Agaricales; Entolomataceae.
AUCCUCCGUAGGUGAACCUGCGGAAGGAUCAUUA